This is a non-coding RNA of Pelobates cultripes (western spadefoot toad), 739 nucleotides long. NCBI's taxonomy places the organism in Eukaryota, Metazoa, Chordata, Amphibia, Anura, Pelobatidae. The record is from the annotation of a GenBank genome assembly.
GUUGAAGUGGAAUAUUGGGCCUGUGGGAGUCAUAUAGCAUUGGACAUGGUUUGCUGUUGGGGACAUGUGCCAUUGUUAAUGCAAACCUCCCAACAUUUCAAAUGGACAAAGAGGGACACUUUGACACAUCUGCUCCUCUCUUGGAUCUGGAGAAGGCAGAGUAGUUUUGUGUAUUUUGUGAACAAAAGAUUAAAAGUUUAAACAAUAAAGACACAUUUUCACAGCCUUCUUUGUUCAUAUUUACCAAGGCUGCCAAUAUUAGUGGAGGGCACUGGAUAAAGAAACAGGGCAGUAUUGCUUUAAAGGGUAGUUAUAGUGUAACGUAGUUAAAGGGUUAAAGGGAAGACUAUACUGUUUGGGCAGUAUGUCCUAGACAUACCUGAAAUUAGUGGGUUGAGUAAACAUUACAUUUAAAAAAACAAAAAUUCCGAGAAGUGACUGUUCAAGCAUUGCAAAACCAUAGCAUGUGAUGCUCUAUAUUUAUUGUGAUAGUUAGUUUUAACAUUGUUAAAUGUUUUGUAUUUAGUGUGUUUAUGGAUUUUUUUAUAUAAUACAUAUUUGUUAGAUUUACGUCACCUCAGACCUUGAAAAUUUGACUGGAUGCCCAGAACAAACUGUUAGGCAGAAACACAGAAAAAUGUCAUUAUCAUAAAUAGCGGAUUACAUUUUCCAUGAGAUAGCAUAUACGUUUGUGCAAAGCAUUGUUAUGUGUGCCUAAAGCUGGUUCUUGUUUUUAAAC